RNAcentral lists this ribosomal RNA (1450 nucleotides) under uncultured organism. RNAcentral describes it as "SSU rRNA". It matches the Rfam family "Bacterial small subunit ribosomal RNA". The record is from RNAcentral.
AGCUACAGGCUUAACACAUGCAAGUCGAGGGGCAGCAUGGUCUUAGCUUGCUAAGGCCGAUGGCGACCGGCGCACGGGUGAGUAACACGUAUCCAACCUGCCGUCUACUCUUGGACAGCCUUCUGAAAGGAAGAUUAAUACAAGAUGGCAUCAUGAGUCCGCAUGUUCACAUGAUUAAAGGUAUUCCGGUAGACGAUGGGGAUGCGUUCCAUUAGAUAGUAGGCGGGGUAACGGCCCACCUAGUCUUCGAUGGAUAGGGGUUCUGAGAGGAAGGUCCCCCACAUUGGAACUGAGACACGGUCCAAACUCCUACGGGAGGCAGCAGUGAGGAAUAUUGGUCAAUGGGCGAGAGCCUGAACCAGCCAAGUAGCGUGAAGGAUGACUGCCCUAUGGGUUGUAAACUUCUUUUAUAAAGGAAUAAAGUCGGGUAUGGAUACCCGUUUGCAUGUACUUUAUGAAUAAGGAUCGGCUAACUCCGUGCCAGCAGCCGCGGUAAUACGGAGGAUCCGAGCGUUAUCCGGAUUUAUUGGGUUUAAAGGGAGCGUAGAUGGAUGUUUAAGUCAGUUGUGAAAGUUUGCGGCUCAACCGUAAAAUUGCAGUUGAUACUGGAUAUCUUGAGUGCAGUUGAGGCAGGCGGAAUUCGUGGUGUAGCGGUGAAAUGCUUAGAUAUCACGAAGAACUCCGAUUGCGAAGGCAGCCUGCUAAGCUGCAACUGACAUUGAGGCUCGAAAGUGUGGGCAUCAAACAGGAUUAGAUACCCUGGUAGUCCACACGGUAAACGAUGAAUACUCGCUGUUUGCGAUAUACAGCAAGCGGCCAAGCGAAAGCGUUAAGUAUUCCACCUGGGGAGUACGCCGGCAACGGUGAAACUCAAAGGAAUUGACGGGGGCCCGCACAAGCGGAGGAACAUGUGGUUUAAUUCGAUGAUACGCGAGGAACCUUACCCGGGCUUAAAUUGCAGAUGAAUUACGGUGAAAGCCGUAAGCCGCAAGGCAUCUGUGAAGGUGCUGCAUGGUUGUCGUCAGCUCGUGCCGUGAGGUGUUGGCUUAAGUGCCAUAACGAGCGCAACCCUUGUUGUCAGUUACUAACAGGUCCCGCUGAGGACUCUGACAAGACUGCCAUCGUAAGAUGUGAGGAAGGUGGGGAUGACGUCAAAUCAGCACGGCCCUUACGUCCGGGGCUACACACGUGUUACAAUGGGGGGUACAGAGGGCCGCUACCACGCGAGUGGAUGCCAAUCCCCAAAACCUCUCUCAGUUCGGACUGGAGUCUGCAACCCGACUCCACGAAGCUGGAUUCGCUAGUAAUCGCGCAUCAGCCACGGCGCGGUGAAUACGUUCCCGGGCCUUGUACACACCGCCCGUCAAGCCAUGGGAGCCGGGGGUACCUGAAGUGCGUAACCGCGAGGAGCGCCCUAGGGUAAAACUGGUGACUGGGGCUAAGUCAUAAC